AUCCAGCUGAUGAGUCCAAAAAAGGACGAGACGUGCGUCCUGGAU
RNAcentral lists this non-coding RNA (45 nucleotides) under Schistosoma mansoni. The record is from RNAcentral. Lineage: Eukaryota; Metazoa; Platyhelminthes; Trematoda; Strigeidida; Schistosomatidae.